CAGUGGCGUACGGGUGAGUAACACGUGGGUAAUCUACCUCUUAGUGGGGAAUAACUUUGGGAAACCGAAGCUAAUACCGCAUAAGCUCGAGAGAGGAAAGCAGCAAUGCGCUGAGAGAGGAGCCCGCGGCCGAUUAGCUAGUUGGCAGGGUAAAAGCCUACCAAGGCAGAGAUCGGUAGCCGGCCUGAGAGGGCACACGGCCACACUGGCACUGAAACACGGGCCAGACUCCUACGGGAGGCAGCAGUGGGGAAUCUUGCACAAUGGGGGCAACCCUGAUGCAGCGACGCCGCGUGAGCGAUGAAGCCCUUCGGGGUGUAAAACCCUUUCGACGGGGAAGAAAGCCGCAAGGUCUGACGGUACCCGUAGAAGAAGCCCCGGCUAACCCCGUGCCAGCAGCCGCGGUAAUACGGGGGGGGCAAGCGUUGUUCGGAAUUACUGGGCGUAAAGGGUGCGUAGGCGGUUCGCUAAGUUGGAUGUGAAAACUCUGGGCUCAACCCAGAGCCUGCAUCCAAUACUGGCGAGCUAGAGUUCUGGAGGGGAUAGCGGAAUUCCUGGUGUAGCGGUGAAAUGCGUAGAUAUCAGGAGGAACACCGGUGGCGAAGGCGGCUAUCUGGACAGAGUCUGACGCUGAGGCACGAAAGCUAGGGGAGCAAACAGGAUUAGAUACCCUGGUAGUCCUAGCCCUAAACGAUGGAUACUUGCUGUAGCUGGGAUUGAAUCCAGCUGUGGCGAAGCUAACGCAUUAAG
This 750-nucleotide ribosomal RNA is filed under the name uncultured bacterium. RNAcentral's name for it is "bacterial SSU rRNA". It matches the Rfam family "Bacterial small subunit ribosomal RNA", at positions 93 to 864 of the family's 1533-position model. The record is from RNAcentral.